CCCACGGCGCCGGCUCGUUUCCUCGCCUUGCACAACGCGCUCCCCGCCGCCCCGGAGAGCCUCGCCGCCGCCUUGGGGCUCGGCAACCCCCCGUGCGCCGGAGCCUCGCUGUGGGAAGUCGGCGUGCCAGACUCUCCGAGUGGCCGGAGACAGAAGCGCCAAAAGCCGCGAGUUUUGUUCAUGAGGGUGCUUCGCAUGUACAAGCCGGACUUGGCUCUGCUGCUCCGAGGGUUUUGCUUUCUCACCGUGGCUGCCGCCUGCAAAUUGCACAGUUUCGCCAUGAGGAUGAGGAUAAAAGGAGGGUCCGAAAUGAAUGCGGGGAAGGGCGGGGGGAAAAGUGUAUCAAUGAGAAAUAGCGGUCCACAUCAUUGACAACGUUGUAUGGGGAAAUCCACUCCAAAUUAAACAGAAUGAAAGGAAAUGUCGAGAUUGAGGGGAUUUAUUCUUGUGUGCGUGUCCCAGGUGGGAUCCAGAUCCGGUAUUACACGGGCAAGGUAAUUGACAACCUGCGUGAGGAUUUUGAACCGGAUGACUUCUUGUCAGCACUGCUUCUCAUGGGCGUGUUCUCAGUGGGAAGGCGAGAAGAAGUAUCCUGACCCCCAAAAUUUCAGAGCCCUGCAUAAUCCAGGCGCAGAUGAAACAUACUUAUCACGUGUACGCCUAAAUGCC
Molecule: long non-coding RNA, 669 nt
Organism: Hippocampus zosterae (dwarf seahorse)
Lineage: Eukaryota; Metazoa; Chordata; Actinopteri; Syngnathiformes; Syngnathidae
Exons: 2
Source: RefSeq, a predicted model, not a curated record